RNAcentral lists this ribosomal RNA (2168 nucleotides) under human gut metagenome. RNAcentral describes it as "bacterial LSU rRNA". The stretch from base 1 to 1927 matches the Rfam family "Bacterial large subunit ribosomal RNA", at positions 580 to 2925 of the family's 2925-position model. The record is from RNAcentral.
CCCGUUAAAGGGUGAUGGCGUGCCUUUUGUAGAAUGAACCGGCGAGUUACUGUAUGGAGCGAGGUUAAGCAGGAUAUGCGGAGCCGAAGCGAAAGCGAGUCUUAAGAGGGCGAAAGUUGCAUGCAGUAGACCCGAAACCGGGUGAUCUAGCCAUGACCAGGUUGAAGUUGGGGUAAAACCCGAUGGAGGACCGAACCGACCCCCGUUGAAACGUUGGCGGAUGAGUUGUGGCUAGGGGUGAAAUUCCAAUCGAACCCGGAGAUAGCUGGUUCUCCCCGAAAUAGCUUUAGGGCUAGCGUCGAGAGAAGAGUUGCGUGAAGGUAGAGCACUGAAUAUGUGAUGGCCCCAUCUCGGGGUACUGAGCAUAAUCAAACUGCGAAUGUCACGGAAACAUACUCGGCAGUCAGACAGCGGGUGAUAAGGUCCGUUGUCAAGAGGGAAACAGCCCAGACCAUCAGCUAAGGUCCCAAAAUGUAUGCUAAGUGGAAAAGGAUGUGGAGAUGUACAGACAACUAGGAGGUUGGCUCAGAAGCAGCCAUCCUUUAAAGAGUGCGUAACAGCUCACUAGUCGAAUGACUCUGCGCCGAUAAUUUACCGGGGCUAAGCAUACUACCGAAGCUAUGGAUCCCAAGGGAUGGUAGGGGAGCGUUCCAUGAACGGAGAAGCGUGAUCGAGAGGACGCGUGGAGAUCAUGGAAGAGAGAAUGCCGGUGUGAGUAGCGGAACGUGGGUGAGAAUCCCACGCACCGAAAACCCAAGGUUUCCAGAGGAAGGUUCGUCCGCUCUGGGUAAGUCGGGACCUAAGGCGAGGCCGAGAGGCGUAGUCGAUGGACAACAGGUAGAGAUUCCUGUACUCAUAUAUAUGUGAAGGAAUGACGGAGAGAGGAAGCUGCAGCCAGCGGCUGGAAGAGCUGGUGCAAGCGAGAUAUCGGGAUGGCAGGCAAAUCCACCAUCCGAAACGAGAAGGCGUGAAGCGUACGGAAAGCUACGGCGAGUACGGAAGGCAGUGGAGGAACUUCCAAGAAAAGUUUCUAACGUUAAGUAUAUAUGGCCCGUACCGAAAAUGGACACACAUGGGUGAGGAGAGAAUCCUAAGGUGAGCGAGAGAACUAUAGCUAAGGAACUCUGCAAAAUGACUCCGUAACUUAGGGAGAAGGAGUGCUCAUAGAGAUAUGAGCCGCAGUGAAACGGCCCAAGCGACUGUUUACCAAAAACACAGCUCUCUGCUAAGCCGCAAGGCGAAGUAUAGGGGGUGACGCCUGCCCGGUGCUGGAAGGUUAAGGGGAGGGGUUAACGCAAGUGAAGCCCUGAACUGAAGCCCCAGUAAACGGCGGCCGUAACUAUAACGGUCCUAAGGUAGCGAAAUUCCUUGUCAGGUAAGUUCUGACCCGCACGAAAGGCGUAAUGAUUUGGGCGCUGUCUCGACAAUGUCCCCGGCGAAAUUGUAGUACUAGUGAAGAUGCUAGUUACCUGCGAUAAGACAGAAAGACCCCAUGGAGCUUUACUGCAGUUUGAUACUGGGUUUCGAUGAUUUAUGUACAGGAUAGUUGGGAGACUAUGAAAGAGAGGCGUCAGCUUCUCCGGAGUCGUUGUUGGGAUACCAACCUUAAGUUAUUGAAAUUCUAACUUGUAAUCGUAAACCGGUUAGAGGACAAUGUCAGACGGGCAGUUUGACUGGGGCGGUCGCCUCCUAAAGAGUAACGGAGGCGCCCAAAGGUACGCUCAGAUUGGAUGGAAAUCAAUCGACGAGUGCAAAUGCAGAAGCGUGCUUGACUGCGAGAGAAACAACUCGAGCAGGGACGAAAGUCGGGAUUAGUGAUCCGGCGGUGCCGAAUGGAAGGGCCGUCGCUCAACGGAUAAAAGCUACCCUGGUCCUGAAGGGACUCGGAAGCCCGGCUCCUUAUGUAAAAGGGAAUUAUACUGACCAUACUGUGGCGACUUAUUAUGGUGAGGCAAUGGCAGUUGUACAGGCAGAUGGAAACGGACCGGUGAAGGUUACCGUGGCAGAUGAAGAACGGUUUUAUGUGGUGGAAAUUCCAUGUGAAUGAAGUGAAAGACUUAUGAUUUAAGGUGGAAAAGAGGUUGAACAAAUGAAGAAAAAAGGUUUUAUCAUAGGUGGAAUCUGUCUUGCUGCUAUAGUUGGUAUUCUCGGUUACAAUCAUGAAGCUG